RNAcentral lists this long non-coding RNA (5161 nucleotides) under Sus scrofa (pig). Its description in RNAcentral is "lncRNA (ENSSSCG00000053864.1)". Lineage: Eukaryota; Metazoa; Chordata; Mammalia; Artiodactyla; Suidae. The record is from RNAcentral.
AAGCCCCACCAAGGCCUCUUGACGUAUAACUGGGACAUUUGCCAACUGAUCUCUCCUUCACCAUCAUGGUGAUGGUGAGGUUACCCUGGCCAUGUGAACAGGGUACCCCAAGCCCCAUCCACUCACCAUAAGAGGACAAAUAACUCAGCUGAGCAAGACCCGAGUUGGUUCUCCUGUCCCUGUCAUGCCUUCAUCAGCUCCAAUGGGACAAACUCUUGCUUACCAAGGGCCUUCUAGGACAUUUGGUUGUGUUAAGGUUUUUUGAAUGUAUAUUAUUUUCUUUGUGAAGAGAAAGUGCAUGUGGCAGAUGGACCCAGCCAGGGCUGAGGGAAGAGGACAGCCUGUGUUGGACAUUCCCAGGCUGGAGGCCAGUGCCAGCAGGAAUCUUCUGCCUGUUUCCCAGUCCAUCAGAUCUCUUGGCCCUUUAGAUAACAUUCAUUUGCUAUCAGUGGUAAUGAUUUUGUUUUGUGGUGUAUUUUUUGAACCUUAUUAUCACCCUUUAUUUUACGUACCUAAAAUAUAAUAUUAUGUCAUAUUUCUAUAUUAUAAUAUGAAAUGUAUAUGUAAACUUAGACUAUUGAUAAUAUAUAUUAAUCACUGCUGACAAAUACAGAUGAUAAAUAUUUUCCUGAAUUAAAAGUGUGUUUAUAGGUACUGUCAUGAAAAGAUGCUAGGAAAAUAUGCAUCAUGCCUCAACGUUAUAGCCUAGAUUUCAAUAGCCACAGUGGGAAUAAACAUGUAAAAAAAACUUUUGUCAUUAUUCCCAGCAUUCAGUGUUAAUAAGUAAAGUUUAUUUUUGUAUGAAUGUGCAGUGUGUAAUAUUGAUUUUAUUAUUUUUAUUCUUUAUUUCUUACAAAGUGAUGGAAAAGUAAACAUUCAUAUUUAUUAAUCCUAGUUUAUAAGAGAUAAAGUAGAAAGUAUGAUAGACUCAUGUGUGUCUUUGUGCUUCAUGUUUCUUAUUUUAACAUUUCUAAUCUAUUUGGAGAAUUGGGACUGUGGGAGAUUUUAUCCCAUAGCCCUAAAACUCUAUGAAAUUGAAUAGGUGGUUGGAUCCAAGGGGGAAGAGUAUGAGCAAUCUAAAAUAGAAUUCUCAAGUUAAAGUCACCAUUGUUUCAUUCUCUUACAGUGUUUGUGCCCUUGAAAGUCUUAAAUUAGUAUAGAAGAAAGAGGGUAAGCAUAUAAAAUAAAGUAUACAAUAACUUAAAAGUUCAAGUACAUAUUAAUGAAUAUCAUAAAAUUAUCUUUACUAUCAUUUCCCUCUAUGAAAAGUCACUAUUUUACCUAAUAUCUUCCACUUCCUUGUGGAUAAAUAUUCCAAAUCAAGGGCAUAAAUCACAGUGAAACGAGAAAUGGCAAAGUGCUUUUCUGUUAGAUAACUUUCUUCUUAAUGUUUUCUUAUGGGUUCUAUUUUCUUACUGCACAUAGUGAAUUAAAACAUUAGUUGUAUGUGUCAGUUAACAUUUUAUUUUGGCCAGCAAGACAUUUGUAAAGAAAAAGAUUCCCACUAUGGCUGAAAUAAUUGGUUUGACAUGUCAGAGAAAAGUAGAGGCCUUAGAAAUAUGUCUGAAUUAGGCAUCAAUCAAUGUAUUAAUCCUAAUUGGCUCACCUCCUGCUGCUACUUACAGGCUUCAGAAUUUCCUAAAUUUCAGCAACUUGCUGAAAAUUUUAAAAAAGUUUUCAAGGUGAAUAUUCUCCUUUACUUGGAAACUUGUUUCUGGGAGGUCUAGUACAAUAAAGAGAGAGAAAUACAGCAUCUCUGAAAGAGUAAUUCUCAGAUAACCCUGUGUAAGGGGCAUUAUCCUGAUAACAUAUGAAUGGAACAGGGUGGAUACCAGCCCUCCUGGUUUCCAUUUAUGGCUGCAAUGAACAUAGUAUUAUUUUAUUUUUCUUCUGUAUGUUAUGAAAUAUUCCAAAUAUACAUAAAUAUUUAUUCCCUAUGAGAAUAAUGCUCUUUACAAUCUUUCUCUAUGAUUUUUAUAUUAUAGAGAAUUGUAAGAGAUAAAAAUUAGGCUUGGAAUGAGAAAGGAGAUAAUAGGCAGUGGGUAGAGGACUAAAAAUGCUAAACUGAUGCAAUUUAUUUGGUAUAUUUUCCAUUACUUAUGGACUAUCUGUGAACAAACAUAUCCAUUGCCUAUGAACAAACAUACCUAGGGAUAUUUAAAGAAAUUCAUUUAAAAUAUAUUGUUGCCUAAAGGCAACCACGUUGCAGUUAGACCAAAGAAGAUGAAAAAAGCCUGUUUAUCAUUUCUUGAAAGAGGCAAAUUUACUUUUUUUUUUUUAAUGGCCAAAUCCAUAGCAUGUGGCAGUUCCCUGGGCCAGGGAUCGAAUCCAAGCUACAGCCGCUACAGCUGCGGCACUGCAGGGUCCUUCAACCCACUGCGCCAGGCCUGGGAUCAAACCUGUACCUCCCCAGUGACCCGAACCACUACAGUCAGAUUCUUAUCCCACUGUGCCACAGUGGGAACUCUGCAAAUAUACUUAUCAUUAUUCAAGCAGAUUCAAUAUUUGUUUAACAUCUGCUUCCUGUAAGCACAUAAUGUUGAGGAAAUUGCCCUCUGUCCCCUGAUGAGGAUCCAUCACUCUUCAGGUCCAUCUAAAAAUAUAUCUCAGUACACCAGUAUUGGUGCUCUUAAAUCUAAUUCCACUUAUAUUUGACAUAUUCUAGUUACCUACAAAACUACUGUACUCAGUGCUUUGCUCCUACAUUCUUCAUUAUUCAACUUUUGCUAUUGUGGUCUGCUAAGUAAAAGUAGGAAAUGCAAAAGUACAAUAUAAAUACAAAAUUAUCCUAAGAGGUAAUUUAGAUUCUGACAACAGUGCACAUUAGUUUUGCUUCCAUCGUAAAGGUUGUAGGAAAUCAGUAAUAUGUAACCCCGCAUUCAUGAACCUAUCUUAUUCUCUGAAGCACUCUUAUCACUUUUCAUUUGAUGGUUUAAUCACUCAUCUUUUCCUACAAUCAUUCUAUGAAGUACAGUUCUAGAAGCCAAAGACAUGGAAAAGGCCUCCUUGGAGGAAUUACCUUAACUGAUUCCUCCUAAAAUGAUUUUGACUGUCUAGAGUCUCAGUUAACAGGCCAAGUGGUUAUCUAGCUUACUUUAAUUGAUAACUCUUUCUAAAAUGAUUAUAAAACAAAUGUAAUAACUUUGAACUUGCUGUCUUGGAUAGAAACAAGGUUGGGUCAUCCUCUACAUAGAUCAGGUUGGUUCAUACUAUUAUGGAAACUAAUCUUUUUUUAGAAAAAAAAUAUUUUCUUGGCUGUGCCCUUGGCAUGCAGAAGUUCCCAGACUGGGAUUGAACCCGAGCCACAGCGGUGAAAAUGCUGAAUCCUUAACCACAAGGCCACCAGGGAACUCUGGAAACUGAUAUUAAAGAGCAAAGUGCUAGGGUUUCCGCAGUUACUGUUUGUUCUGUGCUGACUCUGGGCAGUUCUUUCACAGACCAUGCACAUCUCCCAUCCUCAGCUGUAGGAUUCAAUGCGCCUCUCUCCACAAUGUGUGAUACACGUGAGCAGUGGCUCUGAAUGAAAGGAGUACAGGCAAGAGCAAUUGCAAAGAGGAAAUGACCUAAAGGAACAGGCAAAGCGUUCUCCCUUGAUUGUUUUAAUCUUAGAAUGUUAAUAUACAAAUGCACUUAAUAUUUCUGAAAAUGAAACAAAUACACAAAUAUUUAAUAAUGAAAGUUAACUUUAACCUUUUAUUAUUUAUUUUCCCUCAGAAAUAUUCACAAACUUUACUUUGAUCGAGUAAAGAACAAAGGCAUUACUAAAUAAGCACUGAAAUAUGAAAAGCACAUGAAAUUGGUGUUCUCAUAGCCUGGAUAUGAAUGAUCAUUUCCUUGUCAAUUUUCUCAGAGCCUCUCCUUGACAGUCUGUGAAAUCUCUGCAGGUAAAUUCAGUCUUAACACUAGCUAUGUUCUCAGAUCUUCAGCAUCACCAGCCUCCCAACAUGACUUGAACACACACACACACACACACACACACACACACACACACACACACACGAUAAAAUGGCUAAGAUCAUUCCAAACGCGUCAAGCAUAGAUAUAGAAAGUGAGAGCCCCUUGUGAUUCAGAUGGGCUCAUAUACUGAGUUUAUGCCAUCAAUAAAGUUCUAAGACUUUACUAGGGGUGGAAAAAGGUUAGCAAUCAUAUAUCAGUUAUUUUGCAUAAAAUCAGUAACCAUGACUUCAAGUAGAAAGUUUAAAGAUUCUCAAUUUAGAGAAUAAUCCUCCAUUUCAGCAAGCUUAAAAUAUGAUGUGACAGAUAGAAGUACCAUUUUAAAAGUUGAAAACGAUAACCCUAGAACUUUAAGUUCAAUCCAGUAGCCUCUAGUGAGUGUAACUAUAUAAACUUUUCAAUAAAGUUAAAUAAAAUUAAAAUAAUCCUCAGUCACACUAGUCAUAUUUCAACUGCUCAAUAUUUACAUGUAACUAGUGUCUAUAAUAUAGGAAAGCAGAGAUAUAGAACAUUUGCAUUGUCACAGGAAGUUCUAUUGGACAGCACUGCUCUAGAAAGUUAAUUGAAAAAAAGCAUAGAGCUAAAUCUUCCAAAUACCAGGCAUCAAGUCAAUUGAGUUGUAAGCCCAGAGUAGAACAGAGUGAAAUAUCAGCUCCAAAAUUCUGCUUACAGAUGUUUAGGUUGAUUAGCUGUGAUGCUCAAAGCUGGUAUAGCUGGAGGAUUGUUUGUAGUAUUCAUGGUUUGUGUUCCUACUCUCUUUGGCACCAAGAUCCCUGAGAGGGAGACUGGAUCAUUCUACAAUGAGCAAGUGGCAUUUCUUAUCAUUUGUAAACUCAGGAAGAAAGAGAGAGGAGAAUAAAAGCUUUGCAGCACCCCAUCAAAAAGCCUAAUGAUAUUAAAUUAUUUGGUAGCAUUAUAAAACUUUAAAACAAUUUUUUCACAUAAGUAGCAAUAGAAGAACAUGAAAUAUUGAAUCUGAUUAAGGACACGGUAGUCACUUUAUGAGAAUGAAUAAAGACAAUUUUGAGAACUAUAUGAAGAAGAAAAAAGGAGUUCCCAUCAUGGCUCAGUGGUUAAGGAGCCCAGCUAGUAUACAUGAGGAUCCAGGUUCGAUUCCUGGCCUCGUUCAGUGGAUUAAGGAUCCUGCAUUGCUGUGGUAUAGUCCAGCAGCUACAGCUCCGAUUUGACCCCUAGCCUGGGAACCUCC